Molecule: ribosomal RNA, 198 nt
Filed under: Triticum aestivum (bread wheat)
Lineage: Eukaryota; Viridiplantae; Streptophyta; Magnoliopsida; Poales; Poaceae
Description: partial small subunit ribosomal RNA
Source: RNAcentral
AUGGGCCACCAUUGUUUACAAAGACUUUGUGAAGGCAAAGCUCCAAAAUCCAACUAUACCAUCAAUGGGUAUGGCUAUACCCUGUGGUACUACCUUGCCGUUGGCAUCUAUCCUCGGUAUGCGACGUUUGUCCACACCAUCUCCCGGUCAAUAGUAACAUUAUCUUCGGAUUAUUUCAACGGCAAGUGCCAAUAUUGA